This 253-nucleotide ribosomal RNA is filed under the name uncultured bacterium. Its description in RNAcentral is "partial 16S ribosomal RNA". It matches the Rfam family "Bacterial small subunit ribosomal RNA", at positions 524 to 776 of the family's 1533-position model. The record is from RNAcentral.
UACGGAGGGGGCUAGCGUUGUUCGGAAUUACUGGGCGUAAAGCGCACGUAGGCGGCUUUGCAGGUUAGAGGUGAAAGCCCGGGGCUCAACUCCGGAAUUGCCUUUAAAACUGCAUCGCUAGAAUUGUGGAGAGGUAAGUGGAAUUCCGAGUGUAGAGGUGAAAUUCGUAGAUAUUCGGAAGAACACCAGUGGCGAAGGCGACUUACUGGACACAUAUUGACGCUGAGGUGCGAAAGCGUGGGGAGCAAACAGG